GAUGAACGCUGGCGGCGUGCCUAAUACAUGCAAGUCGAGCGAACAGAUGAGGAGCUUGCUCCUCUGACGUUAGCGGCGGACGGGUGAGUAACACGUGGAUAACCUACCUAUAAGACUGGGAUAACUUCGGGAAACCGGAGCUAAUACCGCAUAAUAUAUUGAACCGCAUGGUUCAAUAGUGAAAGACGGUUUUGCUGUCACUUAUAGAUGGAUCCGCGCCGCAUUAGCUAGUUGGUAAGGUAACGGCUUACCAAGGCAACGAAGCGUAGCCGACCUGAGAGGGUGAUCGGCCACACGGGAACGGAGACACGGUCCAGACUCCUACGGGAGGAAGCAGUAGGGAAUCUUCCGCAAUGGGCGAAAGCCUGACGGAGCAAGGCCGCGUGAGUGAUGAAGGUCUUCGGAUCGUAAAACUCUGUGAUUAGGGAGGAAGAAAUGUGGAAGUAACUGUGCACGUCUUGACGGUACCUAAUCAGAAAGCCACGGCUAACUACGUG
This 497-nucleotide ribosomal RNA is filed under the name uncultured bacterium. Its description in RNAcentral is "partial 16S ribosomal RNA". It matches the Rfam family "Bacterial small subunit ribosomal RNA", at positions 28 to 507 of the family's 1533-position model. The record is from RNAcentral.